RNAcentral lists this ribosomal RNA (315 nucleotides) under uncultured Bacteroidales bacterium. Its description in RNAcentral is "partial 16S ribosomal RNA". The record is from RNAcentral. Lineage: Bacteria; Pseudomonadati; Bacteroidota; Bacteroidia; Bacteroidales.
GGAGUCUGGACCGUGUCUCAGUUCCAAUGUGGGGGACCUUCCUCUCAGAACCCCUACCCAUCGUCGGUUUGGUGGGCCGUUACCCCGCCAACUGCCUAAUGGGACGCGAGCCAAUCCGAUAGCGAUAAAUCUAUUAAACAAAGGUCAUGCGGCCUCUGUUGUUACGGAGUAUUACACGACGUUUCCAUCGACUAUCCUCCGCUAUCGGGCAUGUUGCUCACGCGUUACUCACCCUUUCGCCGGUCGCCGCCAAAGUAUUGCUACCUCGCGCUGCCCCUCGACUUGCAUGUGUUAAGCCUGCCGCUAGCGUUCAUC